GCCAGCCCGCUCAGAAACUCAAAGGAAUUGACGGGGGCCCGCACAAGCGGAGGAACAUGUGGUUUAAUUCGAUGAUACGCGAGGAACCUUACCUGGGCUAGAACGCAUUCGGAAUCAGGCCGAAAGGCCUGCGCCAGCGAUGGCCGCUUGCGAGGUGCUGCAUGGUUGUCGUCAGCUCGUGCCGUGAGGUGUCGGGUUAAGUCCCAUAACGAGCGCAACCCCUACUGCUAGUUGCCAGCGGGUCAUGCCGGGGACUCUAGCGGAACUGCCAGCGUAAGCUGCGAGGAAGGUGGGGAUGACGUCAAAUCAGCACGGCCCUUACGUCCAGGGCUACACACGUGUUACAAUGGCCGGUACAGAGGGCAGCCACCCCGCGAGGGGGCGCGAAUCCCGAAAGCCGGUCCCAGUUCGGAUCGGAGUCUGCAACCCGACUCCGUGAAGCUGGAUUCGCUAGUAAUCGCGCAUCAGCCACGGCGCGGUGAAUACGUUCCCGGGCCUU
RNAcentral lists this ribosomal RNA (499 nucleotides) under uncultured Rikenellaceae bacterium. RNAcentral describes it as "bacterial SSU rRNA". It matches the Rfam family "Bacterial small subunit ribosomal RNA", at positions 903 to 1382 of the family's 1533-position model. Lineage: Bacteria; Pseudomonadati; Bacteroidota; Bacteroidia; Bacteroidales; Rikenellaceae. The record is from RNAcentral.